ACGGGGUGCAGCAGGCGCGAAAACUUUGCAAUACACGAAAGUGUGACAGGGUCAUCCCGAGUGCCGACCGCUGAGGUUGGCUUUUACCCAGUCUAGAAAGCUGGGGGAAUAAGGAGAGGGCAAGUCUGGUGUCAGCCGCCGCGGUAAUACCAGCUCUCCGAGUGGUGUGGACGUUUAUUGGGCCUAAAGCAUCCGUAGCUGGCUUAGCAAGUCCCCUGUUAAACCCACCGAUUUAAUCGUUGGUCUGCGGGGGAUACUGUUAGGCUAGGGGACGAGAGAGGCAGACGGUAUUCCCGGGGUAGGGGUGAAAUCCUAUAAUCCCGAGAAGACCACCAGUGGCGAAGGCUGUCUGCUAGAACGCGCCCGACGGUGAGGGAUGAAAGCUGGGGGAGCGAACCGGAUUAGAUACCCGGGUAGUCCCAGCUGUAAACGAUGCAGGCUAGGUGUUUGGACGGCCAUGUGCCGUUCUAGUGCCGCAGGGAAGCUGUUAAGCCUGCCGCCUGGGGAGUACGAUCGCAAGAUUGAAACUUAAAGGAAUUGGCGGGGGAGCAC
RNAcentral lists this ribosomal RNA (552 nucleotides) under uncultured archaeon. RNAcentral describes it as "bacterial SSU rRNA". It matches the Rfam family "Archaeal small subunit ribosomal RNA", at positions 325 to 879 of the family's 1478-position model. The record is from RNAcentral.